RNAcentral lists this long non-coding RNA (222 nucleotides) under Musa acuminata (dwarf banana). Its description in RNAcentral is "long non-coding RNA (MACU_LNC009537)". Lineage: Eukaryota; Viridiplantae; Streptophyta; Magnoliopsida; Zingiberales; Musaceae. The record is from RNAcentral.
UCUUAAACAUCCAACUAGACUUUUAGAGUUGGAUUAAUUGGUUUACCUUCACUUUUCUUAGUCAACUUGGUGUCAUAUUCCACAAAUGUAAUAGUAGAGUGACAAUCUUCCAUAGAAAACUUCUUUAGGAUCCCAUUUACAUAAUUUUCUUUUGAGAUAAUAAUUUCUUUAUUAUCUUGUAUAAUUUUGAUACCGAGGAAAUAAAUCAUUAAUCAUUAAGCC